Molecule: long non-coding RNA, 8301 nt
Organism: Pseudopipra pipra
Lineage: Eukaryota; Metazoa; Chordata; Aves; Passeriformes; Pipridae
Exons: 2
Source: RefSeq, a predicted model, not a curated record
UGUUCUCCCCGCACUCCACCUCGAUGCAAGGCUCUCCGUUGUCAAAGAAGGGCUGGAAAUCCGGGAUGGAGGAAAACCUCUCCAGCAUCAGGAAUCCAGCACAGAUGCUGCACGUGCCAUCUCUGGCACCACUGGGCCUCUGCCUGAACUAAGCUAAAGGAAGAUCCAGCAUUCUGUCAGCACAGCUGCACCUACAGCACUGGCCUUGCUGCCCUUGUCAUAGCAGGUCUGUAGCAUGAGUUUCUUACAGUCCACAACUGACUAUGCCAGCAAAGCUCUGUCCUGCACACUGAAACACUUCAGAAAAUAAACCAGGUCUUUCAACAACUGGUAUAGCAUCCCGUGAAUCCAGUAUCCAGUGAAUCGUGUUGUCGUUCCCCCUGAAGAAGUUGGGGUGUUUAUAGCCUUUUAAGACUGCAAGUUAGCAGCUCCCCUCCCCACUUCCCUCUCUUUCCACAGAAUUCCCUGACACUUAUCACACCAGUGAGGAGAAGCAGCAAUCCCUCUCCCUACCAAGUUGCUGCACCUACCAAAACACAGGGGAGGAGACCACAGAGCCACCACACUCACACCUUCCUCAGCCUCUUCCAUAGUCUCAGAGGACAUCAGGACUGUCUAACAGCCAGGAUUCACUGCUUUUUGCCUUCUAUUCCUUGCCAGGUGCAGCCCAGCUCUGUGCUCCCUGCCUGGGAACAGCAGCCCUGCUGCCGGAGUCACGCUCAGCAGGACUGGGAUUGAGGUAAUAGCAGCCUCAGGCCAGACUGCUUCAUUAGGAGAGAGGUUCUGACAGCCCAGCAGCAGGAGCAACAGCAGGGAGGGCACAGGUGGGUGUUCAGGGGAGGAGGGUUGGGAAGGAGGACCUUGGAAAGGGCUUUGCCUCUGAAAAAAAACACGCUUUCUCAGGAACUGCUGGGCUGUACUCUUGUUAAUCCCACUGAUUCAGAACACUGCCUUUUAUUGCAGUGAAAAAGGAGCACCAUGGAACUGAGGUUUUUUCGGCUUUUCUAGAAAGCAGUGUCAGGGUAUGGGCUUACACACAAACCAGAGCUGUAAACUGCAUGCACCUCUAUCUGAUGCAGGCGUUCUGUCUGCCUCCAGGAGGACGGCCUGGGACAGUCAGUGGUGGCUUAAGAAACUCUCUUCUUAUCAAACUAUAUUCACAAAAUGCCUCUUCCAAAUCACGUUCCUUACCAGCGCCCUGUACAGCUUUGUGACCAGUCUAAGCAGAUCAGAACUCAGAGAAAUAGAGGAAUUAAAACGUCUGUCGGGGAGAAAGUUUUAUUUUGGAGGCAAGGGCUCCAAUUCUAAACUAGCUGCUCCGUUCUCCUAAAUAAUGAAUAACUUCCCGUGCAGGGAACACACUGUUCUCUCUCCCAGCUGGUGCAGGGGUUAUGCUGUGCUGUCAAACAAUCACCUGGCCUGUGGCUCAGAGACCUCUGCACGCUGCUACACACGCACACUCCACAAGAAACAGCUUAAAUUAAAAGGGCACAAACCUAUUUCCAUUAAAACCAAUGGCAGUUUUUUACUGACUUCACUCUUCAGUGUCUAGUCCCCCGUAAUACAGCACGAGGUAUUGCCCUUCUCUGCAAAGGUUUUAGAAAACAAGUUUAGUUACACUCAAGCGAUGCCUCCACAAUGUAAAAAAAAAAUCAUUUACAGAAAUCACCAAUGGAAUCAAAAGUAUCAAAGCUGCUGUUACAGUAACUGUUCUCUGACCCUUUAAGGCAAGAGCUGCCUUCUUUGCAGCUCCAGUCACUGGGCAGCUCCCAUGUCCUUCUCUCUGCAUUAACUACACUUCUUUGUGCAUACUGCAAUUAAAAAUGCAUCUUCCUCCCCUUUUCCUCCCUCCCCAGAGGUUAUUUAUUGCUAAUUUGUAACCAUUGUGAAAUACUUGAGAUAUCAGAGUUGUAAUGCAGAAGAAAUCAUCCACCAGACUCUCCUUUUUCCUAAAGCCUUUGUGCUACUCUGCUCCACUGCUAAGAAAAACUCCCCCGUGUCAAAAGAUGCUGAAAUGAUGGUCAGAUUGUAUUUAUCUAAAGCUUGGCUUUGUCCCAGCACUCCUUCCUAACUCCACUUCCCCAACUUCCUGCCUGCCUUUCCUCCUGCAAUUAUAGUGACAAAAGGGAACACUGAAAACCCGACUAUCCAGGAAUAUCUGUGUACGGCUGGAAUCUAUUGCUGGGUUAUGACAACGGAAAAUGAGUGACCACUGAAAAGCAGAUAACAUCAGGUGUGCCCUCCUCACAUCAAAAAAUAAUCCCUUAACUCACAGGUUCACACAAACACGUGUGCACAGAGCCCCUUUUUCAGGUGAGACAGAGGAACCUUCUUAACUAAUUCUCUGGAAGUGAUGUGUCACAAGAGCCCAGUGCAGUCAAGGUGUGACUGCUUUUAAUACGUGCUAGGAAGGUCAAAUUAAAGACUAGGUAGAACCUGCCUUGACCAAUUUAGGAGGUGCUGAAGUGCAUACUUGCAGCUUCCAAACACCUUAAUUAGAGCCAGCAUAUCCUAAAGUCUUUAAAGCAUUGGGUAUCUCUGCAGAGAGGUUUUGUCUUGUUAUAAUUCUCCUGUUUUCUAGAAACUGGUCUAGUGUAGUCAGUGCCCUGGUAAUGAUGGGAUUAGCAUACACCACCUCUCCACUGGCAUAACUGCACCCCACUAGGAAGCUGUGCAAAUUCCUCCAGGAAUUUUUCUGAACAAUUAUUGUUACAGCAACGGGAAGCUUUCUGUACAGACAGGCCCUGCUCAGAGCUGUGUCCAUAAUGCACUUUCAGGGACAACUGCAGCAAGUGUCCACCUGCCAAAGUGUCCACAGCUAAAUCUCACUAAAUUCAGGCUGCUGCUCUGAGGAGACAUCCCACAGGAGCUCCACCAACAUGGACCUGUGUUUCUGCAGGGGAUUCUCCCUGAAAUUUGUGCUGCAGUGGUUUCAUGGUCAAUGCUGAUGCAGGAAGGCAGUCACAACUUCAGCAUCACUGUGACCCCAACUCUUACAUGGUCCCUUUUGCACAUACAUCAUAUUUGAAUAAAACAUACCCAAGGACAUCCCUACAGUCACAGGCAUGAGCAGAGUCUCCAGGGAACUCACAGAGACAAAUGCACAUGGACAUCUUUGUACUCCUCAUUCAUGCUUCCAUCAUUCUGAGUAACUUCUGGGUCAGGACCACAUGAAGGUUUGUCUUGUUUGGGUUUGGUUUAGUUUUCUUCUAAAUCCCACAUUCCUAUAAAAACAGCUCCCUUGUUCAUGUAAACUUGUUGCCAUGACUACACUGCAACAGAAGGCUUUAAUCAAACAGAAACUUAGACAAGGUGUAAGAAAGGGACAACAAAAACAAAACAAAAGGAAUUUCAAAAUAAAAAACCUGUAAAUAAGUCGUUUAUACAUUUGAAUCUUAUGGUGAUUUGAGUUUCUUGGAGAAGAGCAACUUUUCUGCUCCUUCACAGCCAUCACAGUGUGCUUGUGGGCAGAGAAGCUGCUGCUGCAACUAUUUACCACCAAGUUUUAUUUGUUUGUCAGGCUUCCAGACUUGAACUUUUCUACAUGUGGACUCAGGCAUUCUGACUUCUGCUUCUGCCUAUUUAUUUUGCUUCACUAUGUGACUGCAGCAAUUCACCCACUGACUUCAAACUCACAAACCAGAGCAAACAUCUCUGUAAAGCAGAGCUGGGAAGCACAACUCCUCAGGUGCUCCUCAGUCAUUUCAUCUCAUAUUAUAGAUUCCCAGAGCUCUGUUUUUCUCAAGUUCAAUAAUUCAAUCACUGAGCAAAACCAGGUAAUUGUGAGCCAUAACACACCACAAGUGGCAAAGGCAGAAAUGUCAGAGCAAGCAGUUUACAAGUAAUUUUAAUGCCUGAUGCCUAAAAUUGUUCAUCUAAACUCUUUUGACAAAUACUUACAAAUAACUGUUUUGUUCACAGCAGGAGAGAAGGAUUUUGUUUGUUACACAUCUUGCUUGCCAAAACUACUCUGCAUCCAGACAAGACACAAGCUAUUUUCACUCCCUGUUCACACUCAAAGGCACACAUGGAUGAGUUGCCAGCACACACCUGGAAAACUCCUCUGCACACUGUCCCAAAGUUUAAAGUCUUGCAGCAAGAGGAAAGGACAAAAAGGCAUUUUGAACAUUGUACUGCUCCCUUCACGUGCUGUGUGGAGCCAGAGUCAUCCACAGCUGGGGAUGAAAGGAUGGGAAAAGCUCCAGCCCUGUAGCAAGUGACACAGCAGUGGUGACAGCCUGGCACUGAGGGUCACCCACUGUCACACACACAGAGAUGUGCCCUCAGAAAACAGGAUCUGGGUAAACAACAGACCUAUUUUUUCUUCCGUUUGUGCCCCCGAGAAAGACAGGAAGAACUAAAAUACCCAUCUGAGGUUCUGUGCAUGUCAGUGGGUAAGGGCCACGCUGCUGGAGCGUUUGGCUCCAUGGGAGCAGCUUCAGCCUCCAACACUGCAGCCAUAUGGAACUCCCAGCUCAGCCCCAGCACACCAACAGAUGUGCCAAGAGCUGAAGGGGGCAAAAAACCUGGGUUCCAGCACACAUUUCAUUUCUGACUAACCAGGAAGGACUUGGGGAGGAAGUUGGGGCCAAUUACUGAGGAUGAGGAGUGGAGGAAAGAGGGUUUUUCGAGUUCUUGUCUUCCCUUUUAAGUACAUCAAGCAUUGCAGGCAUUUCUCACACGUGCUUUGCACCCAGGAGCAGUGCUGGCAUUAGCCAGAAACCACUGUGUAGAGGUUAAAGCUGCACUGACCCUAAAAUGAAAAAGCCUAAUCCAUUGUAAAUAUCCAGAAGACCCUCAAGUCUGUCACAACCCAGUUUUUAAGGAGUCUGUCUCUGUGGUAUGGUCUCUAAUCACAAUUACAGCAAAACACUGAUUAGGAUGCUCAUGGGAACAGCGUAGGAAACAAAUAUCAAAUUGUCCUAACAAAGUAGCUGAACACAUUUAUGAGGAUGGUAUUGCUUUUAAUUAGUCUUAAUUUCCAAAGAAUUAUUGCUUGCUUAAAAAAAACCUUUAUGGAUCCAUGAAUUAUUGAGUACAAGAUUCUCCCCCUCUCUCCUACUGAUACCCGAGAGAGCAGUCCCAGCAUAACUCACCAGGGAAUUUGCUGUAUUUGACUGCAAGAAUGAUGCUCAUUGUUCCAGUGUAUUCAGGAUUUUUGUUAUAACUCCAAAGAUUGUAUCAGUUCUUGCAGAGUGAAUAUGGAAAACAAGUCCCAAUCUGGAUUAACCACCACGAACAUGUUGUGUUUGUUAGAAUUGAUCUGUGUGUUUGUACACAGAAACACAUGUGCACACAUUGGCUAUAUACACCUAUGCAAUUUUAUAUCUAAUUUUAAUCAGAUUUCUAGUCUCCUUCCUGAAAUACAAUAAUGCAAAUCAAGCCAUUUGUUUCCCUCUUUAUAAAGUUAAUGUGACCCUACUAGUGUCAACUUUGAGAAGCAGUGCAGACCCAGGUAAAUGGACUUGUUUAGGGAUGUUAUAUCCAUAUUAUUCUGGGCUGAGCCUCCUGUUGUUUCUCCUUCCUUCCUCAAAAAAAAAAAAAAAAAAAAAACCACAUAAAACCAGCCCCAAAUUUCAGCUCCAAAAGCAGCAGAGAAUCUGUCCUUGGUUAUGGGGAUUAGCACUGCUUAACUUUCAGCCAUACAUAUUUGGAAUUCCUCAAUAUUUGCGUCCUGUCACACUCUUUGUGGAGCAGAACUCCUAUCCAGGGACUCAAGGACUGUGGUGCCCGCAGUGCAUUCACAGACUCUGCAGUGGGAACCAGUCUGAGGUCCCACCAGUUGCCUCCUGAACUGGAAUUCCAGAGUGUUGGCUCGGGGCUGAGGGUUGUCCUGGGCAUACCAGCACUUCCAGAGACAUCAGCUUUGGUGCCCCUUGCUGAGGACCCUGCUGUGCAUUUAAACCUUUUCUCUCGGGAGGAAAUACAACAUUUUACAGAGGGCAAAGUCUCUCUCCCCUUCUGUGCUCUUGUUCUACCUCGUGAGGACCUGGGGGUGGUGGGUCCCAGUCUCCUCUCCAUCAGCUCCCUACAGUGCUCACACAGCUUUUCCUUCCAGCUGGAGCUACCAGCCUUCAGGAUGAGAGUAUGACUGGGUGUUUUAAUGCCUAGGGAGAUCCUCAGGAAGUUGUAAGAGGGAGUAUCUGGCACAUCCCAUCUAUCUGGGUCACUAUGGACACUGUUAUUUCAGAUUAUAGCUGGUUAUGGAAAACGUGCUGGCCCUUUUCUAACACCAGUGCCCAAUUCCGUGACAUCCCUGGGACUUUUACAGGAGCAGGGCUUGUCUGCACUGAGAACUUUACCAUAAUAGUAGAGAACAUACUGUUAGACCUGCAGUACUGUAACUACACUGGCACUUCUGUAACUUUUCCCAAGCAAACAGACCCCCUUUCUCAGUCCCUAUCAUUCUCCAUUCUGCUGGUCCUGUCCCAUUGGAGAAAUUCUUCUGGAAAUCCUAAGAAAACCUGCAGUGCAGUGAGAGUUUGUAACCAGAGCUUCUGCAAGACCAGGUGUUUCAGGAUUUGAUUUGUUUCCUCAUGGAAGAUACAGGAAAAAUCCUCCUCAGCUGAUUUCUGCUGGGGCCUGAUCUGUGGCCUGUUAAUAAGCAACUUAUUGCCAAAAUUACAUCUUUACAUCCCAAGCUGUCUUGCUUAGGUUGGAUGUACUGUUGAUGGAAAGAUCAACCUGCCAGAAUCAGGCUUUCAACAUGCAUAUUUGCAGGGAGAAAUUCAAAGUUCCCUUUGCAUUGAUGUUCUUGGAGCUUCAGACUUGCUGCUGUAGCAGCUACCACUAAAUGCUACCAAAUCAGUAAAUCUGUUUAUUGGAAUAGUCAUACAGAACUGCAGCAAUGAGGCACAAACAUAAUCCAAUUCAAACCUCUUCAGAGCAGGAGGAAAUAAACAUUCAGCUCCAUGAAACCUGAGUAAAGAGAGGAGACCUUAAGGAUGUCUAUGGUGAAGAACAGGCCAUCCAGGAGACAAAUAAAUCUUGGCAAGAACUCAACAGGGACAGGAAGGUGAAUGGGAUUGUCCAAGGCCCUUGAUUCAAGACACAUCCUUCCAUCAGCUCCCUAAAAUGCUCAGCAGCAACAUCUGGAACCCCCAUCCAAUUAUAAGAUGAAAUGCAGGAGGAUCAAAGAGAGACUUUCCCAGCUCUCAUGAGAACAAGCUGGAGCGUGGGAUAAUUAGCAGCUCCCAAGCACCUCUCCCUCAUUAGCAUUUUCCCUGGCUCCCCUCCUGCGUGUGGGGAGUCCCCUUUGCCUCCAGAGUACUGAGUUCCCCUCCACAUGUGUCUCUCUUCACUGCCUGUACCAGGAGUUGCCCUGGCAUAUCCUAGAUUUUAGUGGUCCUUUAGCCUUUUGGGACUGGUUGGGAGCGGGGAUGAGGGGGAGAGAAAAAAAGAGUUCAGGAGCUCUGGGGAUCCCAGACAUGCAGGGGGACACUGAGAGAGAAAUACUAAAUAAUAACUAAUAUUUACUUUGCUUCUGGUUUUUUCCUUGUGUCCAGGGAGUUCUGACCAGGAUGAGAGAGGUGUAAUUAACUGUGAGAAGAACUUUUGCUUGCUAGUUCCCACUUUUUUUUGACCUGGCUAACAUACCCUGCCAGCAGCACAGAAGGUUUAAGUCUGAAAGGCACCUUAACAAUCUGUCAAGGAACAAGACUGAAUUAUGAGUUGUUUGCCCUUGCAGAAGAAAUGUGGGUUGCCUGCCUGUCACUUGUGGGGAGCCUGGAGUUGCAUCAAUGCAUUGGGUUUGAGUGCCUGUUCUUCCCAAGAAGAACAGCAGGCAGCAACUGUCCUCCAGCCAAGGGACAGACCAGAAGGGAAAGCUGAGCCUGGAAUCCCCAUCACAAACAGGAGCAAGGCCAUUUUCCCCACAUGCCAUGGCAAUUCCCCACAAAUCAGGGCACUUCCUUCUGACAAGUCAACCAGCUAAUCAGGCCUUUCCCUGAUUGCAUUGGUGUUCCUGUCCCAACAUGCAGAGCAGUCACAGUGUCACAAUCCCAGGGACAAAAUCCAUGGGGGGGACCCCUGGUCACACCAGCUACUGCCAAAGGAAACAAACUGAUUGGGCACAUCAGAAAUCUGCAUGCAAGGAAACAAGCAGGCUGAAAUAAGGGCGAAAUGUUAAUGAAGGUCUGGAAAGCACUGGGAAAUCCUCAGAUUAAAGGUAUCCUAGGAACACAACACAGCCGGUAACAGCAGAUAAGGUCAGCCCAGGGACUGCAUUCAAUUUUAUCUUAAAAAAUCCAACUUUACAUACAGUGACUCAACAAAAAAAUAUAAUAAAUGUAAAUCUUGUAA